Molecule: ribosomal RNA, 741 nt
Filed under: uncultured archaeon
Lineage: Archaea
Description: bacterial SSU rRNA
Rfam family: Archaeal small subunit ribosomal RNA
Source: RNAcentral
GGACCGGGAUAACCCUGGGAAACUGGGGAUAAUACUGGAUAGGCAAUUUUUCCUGUAAUGGUUUUUUGUUUAAAUGUUUUUUCGCCUAAGGAUGGGUCUGCGGCCGAUUAGGUAGUUGGUUAGGUAAUGGCUUACCAAGCCGUUGAUCGGUACGGGUUGUGAGAGCAAGAGCCCGGAGAUGGAACCUGAGACAAGGUUCCAGGCCCUACGGGGUGCAGCAGGCGCGAAACCUCCGCAAUGUGAGAAAUCGCGACGGGGGGAUCCCAAGUGCCAUUCUUAACGGGAUGGCUUUUCAUUAGUGUAAAGAGCUUUUGGAAUAAGAGCUGGGCAAGACCGGUGCCAGCCGCCGCGGUAACACCGGCAGCUCUAGUGGUAGCAAUUUUUAUUGGGCCUAAAGCGUCCGUAGCCGGUUUAAUAAGUCUCUGGUGAAAUUUUGCAGCUUAACUGUGGGAAUUGCUGGAGAUACUAUUAGACUUGAGACCGGGAGAGGUUAGAGGUACUCCCAGGGUAGAGGUGAAAUUCUGUAAUCCUGGGAGGACCGCCUGUUGCGAAGGCGUCUAACUGGAACGGUUCUGACGGUGAGGGACGAAAGUUAGGGGCGCGAACCGGAUUAGAUACCCGGGUAGUCCUAACUGUAAACGAUGCGGACUUGGUGUUGGGGUGGCUUUGAGCUGCUUCAGUGCCGAAGGGAAGCUGUUAAGUCCGCCGCCUGGGAAGUACGGUCGCAAGACUGAAACUUAA